UAAAGAUUUUUGUAUAAGCUUCUAACUUAUAGUUCGGUAAAAGUUUUUUCAUUACCAUCUUUAU
Molecule: transfer RNA, 64 nt
Filed under: Obrimoposthia wandeli
Lineage: Eukaryota; Metazoa; Platyhelminthes; Tricladida; Uteriporidae
Description: tRNA-Ser
Source: RNAcentral